RNAcentral lists this ribosomal RNA (253 nucleotides) under uncultured bacterium. RNAcentral's name for it is "partial 16S ribosomal RNA". It matches the Rfam family "Bacterial small subunit ribosomal RNA", at positions 524 to 776 of the family's 1533-position model. The record is from RNAcentral.
UACGAAGGGGGCUAGCGUUGUUCGGAAUUACUGGGCGUAAAGCGAACGUAGGCGGUGUUCCAUGUCAGAGGUGAAAGCCUAGGGCUCAACUCCAGAAUUGCCUUUGAAACGGGAACGCUUGAGUCCGAGAGAGGGUGGCGGAAUUCCUAGUGUAGAGGUGAAAUUCGUAGAUAUUAGGAAGAACACCAGUGGCGAAGGCGGCCACCUGGCUCGGUACUGACGCUCAGGUUCGAAAGCGUGGGGAGCAAACAGG